UACGGAGGGGGCUAGCGUUGUUCGGAAUUACUGGGCGUAAAGCGCACGUAGGCGGCUUUGCAAGUUAGAGGUGAAAGCCCGGGGCUCAACUCCGGAAUUGCCUUUAAAACUGCAUCGCUAGAAUUGUGGAGAGAUAAGUGGAAUUCCGAGUGUAGAGGUGAAAUUCGUAGAUAUUCGGAAGAACACCAGUGGCGAAGGCGACUUACUGGACACAUAUUGACGCUGAGGUGCGAAAGCGUGGGGAGCAAACAGG
Molecule: ribosomal RNA, 253 nt
Filed under: uncultured bacterium
Lineage: Bacteria
Description: partial 16S ribosomal RNA
Rfam family: Bacterial small subunit ribosomal RNA
Source: RNAcentral